GACAGAGGUUGCAAACGUUGUUCGGAAUUACUGGGCAUAAAGCGCACGUAGGUGGUCCGCUAAGUCGAUUGUGAAAUUCCCCGGCUCAACCGGGGAACGGCACUCGAUACUGGCGGGCUUGAGGUCCGGAGGGGUGAGUGGAACUCCUGGUGGAGCGGUGAAAUGCGUAGAUAUCAGGAAGAACACCCGUGGCGAAGGCGGCUCUCUGGGACGGUACUGACGCUGAGACGCGAAAGCGUGGGGAGCGAACAGG
This 253-nucleotide ribosomal RNA is filed under the name uncultured bacterium. RNAcentral's name for it is "partial 16S ribosomal RNA". It matches the Rfam family "Bacterial small subunit ribosomal RNA", at positions 524 to 776 of the family's 1533-position model. The record is from RNAcentral.